Molecule: ribosomal RNA, 360 nt
Filed under: unidentified bacterium TMB801
Lineage: Bacteria
Description: bacterial SSU rRNA
Rfam family: Bacterial small subunit ribosomal RNA
Source: RNAcentral
CCUGCCCUUANCUCUGGGAUAAGCCUGGGAAACUGGGUCUAAUACCGGAUAUGACUCCUCAUCGCAUGGUGGGGGGUGGAAAGCUUUAUUGUGGUUUUGGAUGGACUCGCGGCCUAUCAGCUUGUUGGUGAGGUAAUGGCUUACCAAGGCGACGACGGGUAGCCGGCCUGAGAGGGUGACCGGCCACACUGGGACUGAGACACGGCCCAGACUCCUACGGGAGGCAGCAGUGGGGAAUAUUGCACAAUGGGCGCAAGCCUGAUGCAGCGACGCCGCGUGAGGGAUGACGGCCUUCGGGUUGUAAACCUCUUUCAGUAGGGAAGAAGCGAAAGUGACGGUACCUGCAGAAGAAGCGCCGGC